UACGUAGGGCGCAAGCGUUAUCCGGAAUUAUUGGGCGUAAAGAGCUUGUAGGCGGUUUGUCGCGUCUGCUGUGAAAAUCCGGGGCUCAACCCCGGACUUGCAGUGGGUACGGGCAGACUAGAGUGUGGUAGGGGAGACUGGAAUUCCUGGUGUAGCGGUGGAAUGCGCAGAUAUCUGGAGGAACACCGGUGGCGAAGGCGGCAUUCUGGACCAUUACUGACGCUGAGGAGCGAAAGCCAGGGGAGCAAACGGG
Molecule: ribosomal RNA, 253 nt
Filed under: uncultured bacterium
Lineage: Bacteria
Description: partial 16S ribosomal RNA
Rfam family: Bacterial small subunit ribosomal RNA
Source: RNAcentral